UACGUAGGUGGCAAGCGUUGUCCGGAUUUACUGGGCGUAAAGGGAGCGUAGGCGGAUACUUAAGUGGGAUGUGAAAUACCUGGGCUUAACUUGGGUGCUGCAUUCCAAACUGGGUGUCUAGAGUGUUGGAGAGGAAAGUGGAAUUCCUAGUGUAGCGGUGAAAUGCGUAGAGAUUAGGAAGAACACCAGUGGCGAAGGCGACUUUCUGGACAAAAACUAAAGCUGAGGCUCGAAAGCGUGGGGAGCAAACAGGAUUAGAUACCCUGGUAGUCCACGCCGUAAACGAUGGGUACUAGGUGUAGGAGGUAUCGACUCCUCCUGUGCCGCCGUUAACACAAUAAGUACCCCGCCUGGGGAGUACGGUCGCAAGAUUAAA
Molecule: ribosomal RNA, 376 nt
Filed under: uncultured bacterium
Lineage: Bacteria
Description: bacterial SSU rRNA
Rfam family: Bacterial small subunit ribosomal RNA
Source: RNAcentral